UACGGAGGGUACAAGCGUUAUCCGGAUUCACUGGGUCUAAAAGGGUGCGUAGGUGGGUUGGUAAGUCUAGUGGUGAAAUCUCCGUGCUUAACAUGGAACUGCCAUUGAUACUAUAGAUCGUUGAAUUUUCUGGAGGAUAGCGGAAAUAUGUCAUGUAGCGGAUGAAAUGCUUAGAUAUGACAUAGAACACCGAAAUUGCAAGGCGCUAUCUAACAGGGAUAUUGAC
RNAcentral lists this ribosomal RNA (226 nucleotides) under uncultured bacterium. RNAcentral describes it as "partial 16S ribosomal RNA". It matches the Rfam family "Bacterial small subunit ribosomal RNA", at positions 524 to 744 of the family's 1533-position model. The record is from RNAcentral.